This 3066-nucleotide long non-coding RNA is filed under the name Lotus japonicus. RNAcentral's name for it is "long non-coding RNA (LJAP_LNC001590)". The record is from RNAcentral. Lineage: Eukaryota; Viridiplantae; Streptophyta; Magnoliopsida; Fabales; Fabaceae.
AUCUUCAUCUAAGAGUUCCUUUUUAUCUCCACCAAAGUUUCUAAGUUCUUCUUGCAGUUUCUUCAUCACUCUUGGGUUUUUUAUUAGGUUCGUCAUAGCCCAAACUAUUGUCGCUGCAGUGGUUUCUGUACCAGCGACAAGCAUGUCCUGUAAUGAAAAUCACCAGUUAUGUAAUCGUUGAUUGCAAAAAAGUUUCAUUUUUGUAACUAUUUUUGGAACAUUGUAGAAUCAAUACUAUUGUACCCAGUAUGAAACCCUAGUGCAAAAACUAGUUUGUUAGAAAGGUAGUAACAAACCAUAAUUGAUCCAUAAGGAGUUCAAGUUUAAAAAUAAAUUAAAAUUAAAGAAGAGUAAAAAAUUAAGACAAUGUACCAUGAGGACCCCCUUGAUGUGAUUUGAAGUGAGAUUAAUUGAAAGGGACUUCUGUUUCUUGAGUCGAAGCAACACAUCAACUAUAUCCUCUUCCUCUGGUUUCUGUCUAUUGGAAUCCAUGUGUUCAUCAAUGACAUCUUGGUACAACUUAUCCAUCUCCUUGAAAAUUUGUUCCAAACGUGCAUGCAUUCCUGUGAGUUUAUCGAUCCAACCCACGAAAGGAAUAUAAUCUGAUACAAAGAAAGAGGCCAGCAUGGCCUGAAACUCAUGCAUCAAAUCAUGGAACCUACUCCCCUCUGUUCCUUCAUACCUCCUCCCGAAGGCAAUCCUGCACAUUAUAGUGCUUGAGAGAGACAUUUGUAUCGCACUCAAGUUUGUAACAACCGAUGAAGCAGCUUGCUCUGAUAUUUUUUUGAUCAUUUGCUUGACCUCAAACUUUCUUAUGGAGGAAAAGUUUGAGACACGCUUGCUGCUAAAGAUAUGGACAACACAGAGUUUUCUGAUUUCUCUCCAAGAAACAUUGUAUGGGGCGAACACAAUAUCUGACCUGUUAUAGGAAAGUUUCUGCUGGCCAUGUAGGUUAGGUCGAUCAGAAAACACAAUGUCAUUGGUUUUUAGUACUUCCUUGGCAAUUUUAGCUGAAGAAACAACAAUAGCUGGCCUUAAACCCAGUUGAAGCGAAAAUAGUGGACCAUAUAUCUUUGAGAGUUCCCGUAGUUGCAGAAAAAGAACAGAAUUGUUCAGUUGAUGAAGAUUCCCGAUUAUGGGAAGGCCUCUAGGACCAGGUGGACGUGGUGGUUGUUUCUUAAAGGUUAUGUGUUUAUGGAAGAAGAAAUAUAGAAGCAGAGGAAAAAUAAGGCAUAGAACAAGUACAAGUGGUGACACCAUUGUAAUUAACGUCGCCUAUGACCCACUAUGAAGAGGAAGAGAAUUCACGGUUACACAACAGACCUCAGCUUAGAAGAAUAUAUAAGAAAUUGACCGAGACUCCAAUUGACAGCAUAACAAAGAUCACGGCUAGUUAUCAAUAAUAAUAGUUAGGUUAUUAUUAUUUUAAUUAUCAAAUUCCUAUUGAUUCUCCUCUAAUCAUGUGCUUGUCUUUUGCCUACGAAUAAGUCAAUAGACUUUUGACUAAAGAAUGGGCAGAUUUACAAAAUCUGAAUAAUUAAAAUAAUAAAAACCUAAUUAUUAUUAUUGAUACUACUGUUAGUAAGAAGAAUAUUCUUUUUUAUUAUGAAAUUGAAAACUAUAAUAAAGGUGAAAGAUAUAUACAGUAAAUUUUUUCUUACUCCAAUUUGAUCUAACAAUUUAUUUCUCAAAAACAGAGAUAAAGCCGUGUGUCCCUAUGAUCUCUCCACCCCUCUCUCAAAAGGUUUCUUCUUUUCAUAAAAUCAUUAUUUUUUGUUGCGGUUGUGUCCUUUACUUUUUUUAAUUACAAAUUAAAUGAAACUCUUAGGAGUUUCUGAUGAUCUUAACUAAUUUAUUUCUUAUUUAUAUAGGAAUUUUAAAUUCAACCUUUUUUUGUGGUCACUAUUUUCAAUACUAAACUCAAAAUUACAGACAACAAAGUGAAAAUAAUAUGGUACAUUUUUAAUUACAAUUAAAAAAGAAAAAAUUGAAAAUGAAACUCCAAACCAAACAAUAGAAUGAGUAAGCUAACCUUAAUCAUUUUUGCUACAAAUCCAUGUGGCAUUCACACACUUGGCAGAAAGGCAUAGAGGAGUCUUCUUGUGUGUAGUAAUUCCUGGCAACAUUUCAUUAUCGAUGUCUUCCUUCACCAACCCAUGUGGCAGUUCCCAAUCAAAUGAAUAAAUAAGAUUAGCUAGGACAAGUUCCAAUGAUGCAACGGCCAUAGGCAAACCUGGGCAGAUUCUACGACCAGCUCCGAAAGGAAUCAGUUCAAAAUCUAGGCCUAGAAAAUUUAUAGAACUAUCUAAGAAUCUCUCAGGAUAAAACUCUUCUGGGUCUUUCCAAAAUUCUGGAUCUCUCUGAAUUGCCCAACCAUUCACAUACACUAAUGUCUUUGCUGGAAUGUGGUAUCCAUCUACAAUGCAAUUUCUAUUUGAUUGUCUUGGCACAAGGAGUGGGCCUGGUAGGUACAAUCUCAAUGUCUCUUUUAUCACUGCCUUCAAAUAAGGAAAAUUUUGAACAUCAUCUUCAUCUAAGAGUUCUUUUUUACCUCCUCCAAAUUUCCUAACUUCUUCUUGAAAUUUCUUCAUCACUCUUGGGUUUUUUAUUAGGGCAGUCAUAGCCCAAACUAUUGUGGCUGCAGUGGUAUCCGUUGCAGCUACAAGCAUGUUCUGCAAUGAAAAUUAAUAGUUAAGCACUUGUUUACUGUAAACAUUUUUUAGUAACAAAUCAAGUGUAGCACUUAAUAGAAUCAAUACGAUUGUACCCAACAUGAAACUCUAGUGCAAAAAGCCAAAAAUUAGUUUGUUAGAAAGAUAUUAACAACUAAAAUUGAGCCUUCAUCAGUUCUGAAUGGGAUAGGACUGGUUUGUUUGGCAUGCUAGCGACAAAUAGUUGUAUUGCAGCUAACGCCUUUGGCCUUGUCCACUCCUCAAAUCAAGAGUAUUCCUCUUCCUAAAUAAUUGAGUAUUAAUCUACUUCUAAAGCGUAUAAAUCCGUAGGAAGAGCGAGAGGAUUAAUGCUUAAGAGACGUCGUGUAAGAGCAGAUCUUGGAUAGCGGCACAU